RNAcentral lists this ribosomal RNA (497 nucleotides) under uncultured bacterium. RNAcentral's name for it is "partial 16S ribosomal RNA". It matches the Rfam family "Bacterial small subunit ribosomal RNA", at positions 28 to 507 of the family's 1533-position model. The record is from RNAcentral.
GAUGAACGCUGGCGGCGUGCCUAAUACAUGCAAGUCGAGCGAACAGACGAGGAGCUUGCUCCUCUGACGUUAGCGGCGGACGGGUGAGUAACACGUGGAUAACCUACCUAUAAGACUGGGAUAACUUCGGGAAACCGGAGCUAAUACCGGAUAAUAUAUUGAACCGCAUGGUUCAAUAGUGAAAGACGGUUUUGCUGUCACUUAUAGAUGGAUCCGCGCCGCAUUAGCUAGUUGGUAAGGUAACGGCUUACCAAGGCAACGAUGCGUAGCCGACCUGAGAGGGUGAUCGGCCACACUGGAACUGAGACACGGUCCAGACUCCUACGGGAGGCAGCAGUAGGGAAUCUUCCGCAAUGGGCGAAAGCCUGACGGAGCAACGCCGCGUGAGUGAUGAAGGUCUUCGGAUCGUAAAACUCUGUUACUAGGGAAGAACAAAUGUGUAAGUAACUAUGCACGUCUUGACGGUACCUAAUCAGAAAACCACGGCUAACUACGUG